Molecule: small nucleolar RNA, 107 nt
Organism: Solanum dulcamara
Lineage: Eukaryota; Viridiplantae; Streptophyta; Magnoliopsida; Solanales; Solanaceae
Source: RefSeq, a predicted model, not a curated record
AUCCCAUUAUAUGGAUAUUUUUUCAGCAAUUCCUUGAACCUUUCCCAUGCUUCAAAUACAGUCUCCACAUCUAAUUGUGUGAAAUUACUAAUUUCCUUUUGCAUCCU